GCGAUGGUGGUGUAGUUGGUUAUCACGUCAGUCUAACAGAGGAGCCUCGACCGAGCAUCGUCAACCACGAGUUCACGAGUCCCUGGUAGUUCACUGAAGGUCCUGGGUUCAAGUCCCGGCCGUCGUA
This 127-nucleotide transfer RNA is filed under the name Neofusicoccum parvum UCRNP2. It matches the Rfam family "tRNA". Rfam says of the family: Transfer RNA (tRNA) molecules are approximately 80 nucleotides in length. The record is from Rfam by way of RNAcentral. Lineage: Eukaryota; Fungi; Ascomycota; Dothideomycetes; Botryosphaeriales; Botryosphaeriaceae.